UACAGAGGGUGCAAGCGUUAUUCGGAAUUACUGGGCGUAAAGCGUGCGUAGUCGGUUAUCUAAGUCGGGUGUGAAAUCCCCGGGCUCAACCUGGGAAUUGCAUUCGAUACUGGAUAGCUAGAGUUCGGCAGAGGGAAGCGGAAUUUCGGGUGUAGCGGUGAAAUGCGUAGAUAUCCGAAGGAACAUCAGUGGCGAAAGCGGCUUCCUGGACCAGAACUGACGAUCAGGCACGAAAGCGUGGGGAGCAAACAGG
Molecule: ribosomal RNA, 253 nt
Filed under: uncultured bacterium
Lineage: Bacteria
Description: partial 16S ribosomal RNA
Rfam family: Bacterial small subunit ribosomal RNA
Source: RNAcentral